GUUAAUGUAGCUUAACCAAAAGCAAAGCACUGAAAAUGCUUAGAUGGACCAUGACAAGUCCCAUAAACA
Molecule: non-coding RNA, 69 nt
Organism: Trichosurus vulpecula (common brushtail)
Lineage: Eukaryota; Metazoa; Chordata; Mammalia; Diprotodontia; Phalangeridae
Source: the annotation of a RefSeq genome assembly